Molecule: long non-coding RNA, 1323 nt
Organism: Trifolium pratense (red clover)
Lineage: Eukaryota; Viridiplantae; Streptophyta; Magnoliopsida; Fabales; Fabaceae
Exons: 3
Source: RefSeq, a predicted model, not a curated record
CGUGGUUGAAUUCUCCGGAACUUUUGAUCUCUUAUACCAUUUCUCUCUGAACGAGAGGAAAUUUGAUCGUAGCUUCCUACUCAAAGCCACCGUGCCGGAAAGUUUCCCUACAGUUGUGACUCGUUAAUCUUCAAGCGAAAUGGGUUCUAAUGUUGCAGAUUAUCUGGUUGAUCAUAAGUGGUCAACGGAGUUAGAUACAAAACUUGUGAGGGUGAUGAUAACAGCAAGGAAACUUCAAAGGUUUAGCAUGGUCAGAUAAAAGGUUGUGGCAAUGUGCUGUCCAGAAAAUAAAUAUUUUCAUCAACAACGACCAAAAUUGCAGACACUUGGAACGAAAAGGCAUCGAAUGUCUAGAAUCUAGACUUCAAAAACAUAGAAAGGCUUAUGAUAUGUACCAGGAAUCAGGAUGACUCAAAUUGGACAUUGCGGAUUAAGCUCCGAAAUUUGCUUACUUGUAGAGACGACAAUGGCCCAUUGGUUAUCCCUAAGUCUUUCAACAAUUCUCGGGUAGGGUCAUCCCAUUCCUCUUAUGUUGUCGACACUUUUCUACGAAAUCUGCGAGCCAUCAAGAAUCAUAUCAACUAAACAAUAUAACUUUUGCCAUUCAAGAUUUCAAGACAAGCCUUCAAAUGAUGAAUCUAUUCAACCAAAUGACUCCUCAAGAAAGAAUAUCCUAUGUGGAAGUGGAAUAUAUCUUUUAGCCUUGGGUGAAAAAUAGAGUUUUCUUAAUGUGAUGCUGGGUUUAGACUUCCUUAAUAUAACUCUAUUUAUCGGAGGAAAAAUGUCGCAACAAUAUUUCUUUGUUGUUGACUGAUUUGUAAUUCGGCAUCAAUGUCAUAACAAUAAGCACACUAAACACUAACUCUGGUUGCGAUUAGAGUUUAUAAACAGAUUAUCUUUAAUAGCUUUCUGCCGUGGUGAAAUGUUCUAAAACCAAAAUUAGUAACAGAACCAUAAACUCUAGAAGAACUGUUUUUUCAAAAAAACCUCAUCAAAACAGAAGCUCAAAUUGGUUUAACAAAGAAUAAUAGUGGUGCUUAAGUGCGGUUGGUCGCACAUAUGACCUUUCCGAAGCACCACGCCUAUCCUCGUAGAAGCUGUUCCUAGUAAAGAUUAUGAUUCUCGGGUAUCCAAUCAAUUAAUACCACAAACUUGGGAAGCUUAAGCGGAAAUGAAAGAGUAGUAAGGUGAGGGAUAAGGGGGAACUAAAUGGAAGACUUCACUGAUAGAGGUUAUACACUUUCAUCAAGGAGAUCCAAGAUUUUAGAAUAUUGUUAAAAAUUAUAAAAAUUUACUGAGAAGUUAUGAACAUUCAUUAAAAAA